GCUUGUCUCAAAGAUUAAGCCAUGCAUGUCUAAGUGUAAAUACGUCUACACUGUGAAACUGCGAAUGGCUCAUUAAAUCAGUUAUCGUUUAUUUGAUGAUCUCUUGUUACAUGGAUAACCGUAGUAAUUCUAGAGCUAAUACAUGCGUCAAGCCCCGACUCACGAAGGGGUGUAUUUAUUAGAUUUAAGGCCAACCGAGCUUGCUCGUCUCUUGGUGAAUCAUGAUAACUUCACGAAUCGCAUGGCCUCGCGCCGGCGAUAUUUCAUUCAAAUUUCUGCCCUAUCAAUUGGCGAUGGUAGGAUAGAGGCCUACCAUGGUGUUAACGGGUGACGGGGGAUUAGGGUUCGAUUCCGGAGAGGCAGCCUGAGAAACGGCUACCACAUCCAAGGAAGGCAGCAGG
Molecule: ribosomal RNA, 401 nt
Filed under: Tetraselmis cordiformis
Lineage: Eukaryota; Viridiplantae; Chlorophyta; Chlorodendrophyceae; Chlorodendrales; Chlorodendraceae
Description: partial small subunit ribosomal RNA
Rfam family: Eukaryotic small subunit ribosomal RNA
Source: RNAcentral